Molecule: ribosomal RNA, 250 nt
Filed under: uncultured bacterium
Lineage: Bacteria
Also listed under: 1 other name
Description: partial 16S ribosomal RNA
Rfam family: Bacterial small subunit ribosomal RNA
Source: RNAcentral
UACGGAGGGGGCUAGCGUUGUUCGGAAUUACUGGGCGUAAAGCGCACGUAGGCGGACUGGAAAGUUGGGGGUGAAAUCCCGGGGCUCAACCUCGGAACUGCCUUCAAAACUAUCAGUCUGGAGUUCGAGAGAGGUGAGUGGAAUACCGAGUGUAGAGGUGAAAUUCGUAGAUAUUCGGUGGAACACCAGUGGCGAAGGCGGCUCACUGGCUCCAUACUGACGCUGAGGUGCGAAAGCGUGGGAAGCAAAC